GGGUUUACCCAUUGGUCAGGCUUAAUUGUCUGUACUGGUGAGAUAAAUCUCUACCUUCUGAGGAACUUUCAUGUCAUUAAUUUGGUGUGAUGGGAAAUCAGGACUGUUACUUUGAAAAAAUUAGAGUGUUCAAAGCAGGCAUUUGCUCGAAUACAUUAGCAUGGAAUAAUAGAAUAGGAC
RNAcentral lists this ribosomal RNA (180 nucleotides) under uncultured Glomeromycotina. RNAcentral's name for it is "partial small subunit ribosomal RNA". The stretch from base 44 to 180 matches the Rfam family "Eukaryotic small subunit ribosomal RNA", at positions 689 to 828 of the family's 1831-position model. Lineage: Eukaryota; Fungi; Glomeromycota. The record is from RNAcentral.